GUGACAGAAGAGAGUGAGCACACAUGAUGUUUUCUCGCAUGAUGUUUAUAUGCUUGAAACUAUGUGUGCUCACUGCUCUAUCUGUCAC
Solanum tuberosum (potato) is the source of this 88-nucleotide non-coding RNA. Lineage: Eukaryota; Viridiplantae; Streptophyta; Magnoliopsida; Solanales; Solanaceae. The record is from Rfam.